UAAUACGUAGGGUGCGAGCGUUAAUCGGAAUUACUGGGCGUAAAGGGUGCGCAGGCGGUUAUGUAAGUCAGAUGUGAAAUCCCCGGGCUUAACCUGGGAAUUGCGUUUGAAACUACAUGACUAGAGUGUAACAGAGGGAAGUGGAAUUCCAUGUGUAGCAGUGAAAUGCGUAGAGAUAUGGAGGAACAUCGAUGGCGAAGGCAGCUUCCUGGGUUAACACUGACGCUCAUGCACGAAAGCGUGGGGAGCAAACAGGAUUAGAUACCCUGGUAGUCCACGCCCUAAACUAUGUCAACUAGUUGUCGGAUCUUAACAGAUUUGGUAACGUAGCUAACGCGUGAAGUUGACCGCCUGGGGAGUACGGUCGCAAGAUUAAAACUUAAAGGAAUUGACGG
Molecule: ribosomal RNA, 395 nt
Filed under: uncultured Nitrosomonadales bacterium
Lineage: Bacteria; Pseudomonadati; Pseudomonadota; Betaproteobacteria; Nitrosomonadales
Description: bacterial SSU rRNA
Rfam family: Bacterial small subunit ribosomal RNA
Source: RNAcentral